GAUGAACGCUGGCGGCGUGCCUAAUACAUGCAAGUCGAGCGAACAGAUGAGGAGCUUGCUCCUCUGACGUUAGCGGCGGACGGGUGAGUAACACGUGGAUAACCUACCUAUAAGACUGGGAUAACUUCGGGAAACCGGAGCUAAUACCGGAUAAUAUAUUGAACCGCAUGGUUCAAUAGUGAAAGACGGUUUUGCUGUCACUUAUAGAUGGAUCCGCGCCGCAUUAGCUAGUUGGUAAGGUAACGGCUUACCAAGGCAACGAUGCGUAGCCGACCUGAGAGGGUGAUCGGCCACACGGGAACUGAGACACGGUCCAGACUCCUACGGGAGGCAGCAGUAGGGAAUCUUCCGCAAUGGGCGAAAGCCUGACGGAGCAAAGCCGCGUGAGUGAUGAAGGUCUUCGGAUCGUAAAACUCUGUUAUUAGGGAAGAACAAAUGUGUAAGUAACUAUGCACGUCUUGACGGUACCUAAUCAGAAAGCCACGGCUAACUACGUG
This 497-nucleotide ribosomal RNA is filed under the name uncultured bacterium. RNAcentral describes it as "partial 16S ribosomal RNA". It matches the Rfam family "Bacterial small subunit ribosomal RNA", at positions 28 to 507 of the family's 1533-position model. The record is from RNAcentral.